GACGAACGCUGGCGGCGUGCUUAACACAUGCAAGUCGAACGAUGACGACCGAGCUUGCUCGGUCUGAUUAGUGGCGAACGGGUGAGUAACACGUGAGCAACCUGCCCUUCACUCUGGGAUAACCUCGGGAAAUCGGGGCUAAUACCGGAUAUGAGCUCCUGUCGCAUGGCGGGUGUUGGAAAGUUUUUCGGUGAAGGAUGGGCUCGCGGCCUAUCAGUUUGUUGGUGAGGUAGUGGCUCACCAAGGCGAUGACGGGUAGCCGGCCUGAGAGGGCGACCGGCCACACUGGGACUGAGACACGGCCCAGACUCCUACGGGAGGCAGCAGUGGGGAAUAUUGCACAAUGGGUGAAAGCCUGAUGCAGCGACGCCGCGUGAGGGAUGACGGCCUUCGGGUUGUAAACCUCUUUCAGCAGGGAAGAAGCGAAAGUGACGGUACCUGCAGAAGAAGCGCCGGCUAACUACGUG
RNAcentral lists this ribosomal RNA (467 nucleotides) under uncultured bacterium. Its description in RNAcentral is "partial 16S ribosomal RNA". It matches the Rfam family "Bacterial small subunit ribosomal RNA", at positions 28 to 507 of the family's 1533-position model. The record is from RNAcentral.